UUCUGCUAUAACAGUAAGAGGGUUCUAUAGCCCUGACGUCAGGUUUAGCACGUGGUAAAUUGAGUAAGAUCGAACACCAAUAAGAGAAAACAAGAGUGGUGGUUGGUGAAGCUCAAGAGAAGAUCGAAAAUAUUAAGUUUUGCGAUCCCUUUGGAACUUUGUGGAAGUGUCAUGUGUGUGAAAAAGUUCUAGCAACGAGCUCAGGUUUCAGGCGUCAUCUAAACAGCCAUUCAGGGCAUUAUAUAGAACAGACUUGUAACAUGUGUUUCAAGUCAUUCAGGUGGAAAGAAUCCUUGCUGCGGCACUUAAAAGCAGUCCAUAGCUUGCAACAGUGACUUCUAUGCUCUUUGUUUUAUUGUGCAGUUAAUGGCUGUGACUGUAAUAAAAGAAAUCUGAAAUUUAAAUAAAAUUUUACUUCUUAAAUUA
Limulus polyphemus (Atlantic horseshoe crab) is the source of this 426-nucleotide long non-coding RNA. RefSeq lists it as uncharacterized. The record is from RefSeq and is a predicted model, not a curated record. The transcript has 3 exons. Lineage: Eukaryota; Metazoa; Arthropoda; Merostomata; Xiphosura; Limulidae.